RNAcentral lists this ribosomal RNA (530 nucleotides) under uncultured bacterium. RNAcentral describes it as "bacterial SSU rRNA". It matches the Rfam family "Bacterial small subunit ribosomal RNA", at positions 777 to 1304 of the family's 1533-position model. The record is from RNAcentral.
AAUAGAUACCCAGGUAGUCCACGCCGUAAACGAUGAGUGCUAAGUGUUAGAGGGGUUUCCGCCCUUUAGUGCUGCAGCUAACGCAUUAAGCACUCCGCCUGGGGAGUACGGUCGCAAGACUGAAACUCAAAGGAAUUGACGGGGGCCCGCACAAGCGGUGGAGCAUGUGGUUUAAUUCGAAGCAACGCGAAGAACCUUACCAGGUCUUGACAUCCCACUGACCGGUAUAGAGAUAUACCUUUCCCUUCGGGGACAGUGGUGACAGGUGGUGCAUGGUUGUCGUCAGCUCGUGUCGUGAGAUGUUGGGUUAAGUCCCGCAACGAGCGCAACCCUUGAUCUUAGUUGCCAGCAUUUAGUUGGGCACUCUAAGGUGACUGCCGGUGACAAACCGGAGGAAGGUGGGGAUGACGUCAAAUCAUCAUGCCCCUUAUGACCUGGGCUACACACGUGCUACAAUGGAUGGUACAAAGGGCUGCAAGACUGCGAAGUCAAGCCAAUCCCAUAAAACCAUUCUCAGUUCGGAUUGCAGG